Molecule: ribosomal RNA, 1243 nt
Filed under: metagenome
Description: bacterial LSU rRNA
Rfam family: Bacterial large subunit ribosomal RNA
Source: RNAcentral
UGAAUACGAGAUGCUACGGCGUCGAAGCAGUCUAUUUCAUACUUCCAAGAAAAGCUCGCACUGUCAUAAACAAAUAAUGCCUGUACCAUAACCGACACAGGUGGGUAGGUAGAGUAUACUAAGGGGCGCGAGAUAACUCUCUCUAAGGAACUCGGCAAAAUGACUCCGUAACUUCGGGAGAAGGAGUGCCUUAUUUAUAAGGUUGCAAUAACAAGAUCCAAGCAACUGUUUAUCAAAAACACAGGUCUCCGCUAAGUCGUAAGACGAUGUAUGGGGGCUGACGCCUGCCCAGUGCCAGAAGGUUAAAGAAGUUGGUUAGCAUUCGCGAAGCUGAUAACUGAAGCCCUGGUGAACGGCGGCCGUAACAAUAACGGUCCUAAGGUAGCGAAAUUCCUUGUCGGGUAAGUUCCGACCCGCACGAAAGGCGUAAUGAUUUGGAUACUGUCUCGGAGAGGGGCUCGGUGAAAUAGACUUGUCUGUGAAGAUGCGGACUACCUGCACCAGGACAGAAAGACCCUAUGAAGCUUUACUGUAACUUGAGAUUGAAAUUGGACUUUACUUGCGCAGUAUAGGUGGGAGGCGUUGAUAAUAUUCUUGCGGGAUUAUUUGAGCCAUCAGUGAGAUACCACUCUUGUAAUGUUAGAUUUCUAACUUUGUAUCAUUAUCUGGUCAAAGGACAGUUUCAGGCGGGCAGUUUGACUGGGGCGGUCGCCUCCUAAACGGUAACGGAGGCGCACAAAGGUUUCCUCUGAACGGGUAGAAAUCGUAUCUAGAGUGUAAAGGCAUAAGGAAGCUUGACUGUGAGACCUACAAGUCGAGCAGGGACGAAAGUCGGUCUUAGUGAUCUGACGGUGCUGAGUGGAAAGGCCGUCACUCAACGGAUAAAAGUUACUCUAGGAUAACAGGCUGAUCUCCCCCAAGAGUUCACAUCGACGGGGAGGUUUGGCACCUCGAUGUCGGCUCAUCGCAUCCUGGGGCGGUAGUACGUCCCAAGGGUUGGGCUGUUCGCCCAUGAAAGCGGUACGCGAGCUGGGUUCAGAACGUCGUGAGACAGUUCGGUCCAUAUCCGGUGUAGGCGUUGGAAUAUUGAGAGGAGCCUUCUUUAGUACGAGAGGACCGAGAAGGACAUACCUCUGGUGUACCAGUUAUCGUGCCAACGGUAAACGCUGGGUAGCUAUGUAUGGAGUGGAUAACCGCUGAAAGCAUCUAAGUGGGAAGCCCACCUCAAGAUAAGUAUUCUCAU